CUUUUAGAAGGAUAAUCUGAUUAUUAGAAAAUUCCUUUUUCUUUUUCUUGCAAGCAUUGGAACUUGGGUGUGACAUAAAGAGGCUAAUUAAAAUGGGGAACAAAUUAGAUUAAUUUCCAGGAAUAUAAAAGUGAUAUAAAAGUCUUGUUCUCAACAGUGACUCCAUAAUAGAACAAUUUCAUUUAUGCCUAAGCAGAUCCUUAUUCUGUCUAGUGAGGAUUGUCACCAGUGUCUUACUGACAAGGUUUUUAUUAUUUCUUUGACAGCUUGAUAGUAAGUCAGUGCUUGCUUCUGGGUUUUCAGUCUCUUCAAACUUGGAUUAUGAAGGCUACUAUAAAAAUAUGGAUACAAUGCUACCUCCCCAAAGCCCCAUCUGUUAUGGCCUGCACCCCAAUGUGGAGAUUGCUUUUGUAAUAACUGCAAACAACACGCUCCAUCCAUAUGCUAUUAGAGCUGCAAUUCAAAUACUCAGUCACUGGGAAAGGAGUCUCCCAAGCUGUGGAAGACAAGAAGUGGAUACACAAGACACUUACCUCAUGCAAUGUAGUAUCUCUUGAGGAUGAAGGCAGAGCUAAAUGACAUGGAGAAAAAAAAAUCAUUCAGAAGAAAGUGAGAUCAACUAUUUUAUCCAAACACCAGAAGAAUGCUACUCACAUAAACUGAUUUGUUUUCCAGAAUAUGAGAUUGGAUCUGCUCAUAUAUGAGGAAGCAAAAUGCAAAGCCUCUGAUUAUGGUCUGAUCCUGUUCCAGUGCAGACAUGGAGGGUGAGUUGGCAAUCUCCUCAGAGAUGGAGCAACUACAGACAGCUCUUUUUUUGAUAAUCUUCCUGACACUUGGAUGAGACUGGCUUAUCCAUCAACAUACAGU
This is a long non-coding RNA of Empidonax traillii (willow flycatcher), 867 nucleotides long. RefSeq lists it as uncharacterized. NCBI's taxonomy places the organism in Eukaryota, Metazoa, Chordata, Aves, Passeriformes, Tyrannidae. The transcript is spliced from 4 exons. The record is from RefSeq and is a predicted model, not a curated record.